Molecule: ribosomal RNA, 1130 nt
Filed under: Staphylococcus pseudintermedius
Lineage: Bacteria; Bacillati; Bacillota; Bacilli; Caryophanales; Staphylococcaceae
Description: bacterial SSU rRNA
Rfam family: Bacterial small subunit ribosomal RNA
Source: RNAcentral
UUUAUGGAGAGUUUGAUCCUGGCUCAGGAUGAACGCUGGCGGCGUGCCUAAUACAUGCAAGUCGAGCGAACAGAUAAGGAGCUUGCUCCUUUGACGUUAGCGGCGGACGGGUGAGUAACACGUGGGUAACCUACCUAUAAGACUGGAAUAACUCCGGGAAACCGGGGCUAAUGCCGGAUAACAUGUUGAACCGCAUGGUUCUACAGUGAAAGACGGUCUUGCUGUCACUUAUAGAUGGACCCGCGCCGUAUUAGCUAGUUGGUGGGGUAACGGCCUACCAAGGCGACGAUACGUAGCCGACCUGAGAGGGUGAUCGGCCACACUGGAACUGAGACACGGUCCAGACUCCUACGGGAGGCAGCAGUAGGGAAUCUUCCGCAAUGGGCGAAAGCCUGACGGAGCAACGCCGCGUGAGUGAUGAAGGUCUUCGGAUCGUAAAGCUCUGUUGUUAGGGAAGAACAAAUGUGUAAGUAACUGUGCACAUCUUGACGGUACCUAACCAGAAAGCCACGGCUAACUACGUGCCAGCAGCCGCGGUAAUACGUAGGUGGCAAGCGUUAUCCGGAAUUAUUGGGCGUAAAGCGCGCGUAGGCGGUUUUUUAAGUCUGAUGUGAAAGCCCACGGCUCAACCGUGGAGGGUCAUUGGAAACUGGAAAACUUGAGUGCAGAAGAGGAAAGUGGAAUUCCAUGUGUAGCGGUGAAAUGCGCAGAGAUAUGGAGGAACACCAGUGGCGAAGGCGGCUUUCUGGUCUGCAACUGACGCUGAUGUGCGAAAGCGUGGGGAUCAAACAGGAUUAGAUACCCUGGUAGUCCACGCCGUAAACGAUGAGUGCUAAGUGUUAGGGGGUUUCCGCCCCUUAGUGCUGCAGCUAACGCAUUAAGCACUCCGCCUGGGGAGUACGGUCGCAAGACUGAAACUCAAAGGAAUUGACGGGGACCCGCACAAGCGGUGGAGCAUGUGGUUUAAUUCGAAGCAACGCGAAGAACCUUACCAAAUCUUGACAUCCUUUGACCGCUCUAGAGAUAGAGUUUUCCUCUUCGGAGGACAAAGUGACAGGUGGUGCAUGGUUGUCGUCAGCUCGUGUCGUGAGAUGUUGGGUUAAGUCCCGCAACGAGCGCAACCCUUGAAC